RNAcentral lists this ribosomal RNA (333 nucleotides) under uncultured bacterium. RNAcentral describes it as "bacterial SSU rRNA". It matches the Rfam family "Bacterial small subunit ribosomal RNA", at positions 568 to 898 of the family's 1533-position model. The record is from RNAcentral.
UGCGUAGGCGGCUCAGAAAGUAGGGUGUGAAAGCCCUCGGCUCAACCGAGGAAUUGCGCCCUAAACUACUGGGCUGGAGGAACGCAGAGGUAAGCGGAACUUAGGGUGGAGCGGUGAAAUGCGUUGAUAUCCUAAGGAACACCAGGAGCGAAAGCGGCUUACUGGGCGUUUUCUGACGCUGAUGCACGAAAGCUAGGGGAGCGAACGGGAUUAGAUACCCCCGGUAGUCCUAGCCGUAAACGAUGAGCACUGGAUUGGAGGCCCCCCCAUAGGCUUCUAGUCGUAGCGAAAGUGUUAAGUGCUCCGCCUGGGGAGUAUGGUCGCAAGGCUGAA